This 210-nucleotide unclassified non-coding RNA is filed under the name Hevea brasiliensis (rubber tree). The record is from RNAcentral. Lineage: Eukaryota; Viridiplantae; Streptophyta; Magnoliopsida; Malpighiales; Euphorbiaceae.
GAAAAUGUAUGCUUGAACAUUGUAAUCAUCAAUAGCUGCUGGUAUAAUUUCAGAGCCAAAAUCAUUAGAAGUGGGAUAGCUCCAUUUCAAGAGCUUCAACAAUACAUCUGUCUUGAAUACAUAAACUCCCAUUGAAGCAAUAUAAGGGGAUUUCUUCGCAUCUUGUGGAGAUAAUCCAACAAGAGUAGUAUCUACUUGCAUUGCUUUAAG